This is a long non-coding RNA of Cuculus canorus (common cuckoo), 5348 nucleotides long. RefSeq lists it as uncharacterized. The record is from RefSeq and is a predicted model, not a curated record. Lineage: Eukaryota; Metazoa; Chordata; Aves; Cuculiformes; Cuculidae. The transcript is spliced from 3 exons.
GGCAGUUCAUGCCCUCUCUUAGAGAGGAUUGCCACAAGUAGCGUUGCCGCAGCUUCUGUUUCCAUAAUUAUCCCUAAGGGGCGAGGAGCGACCUCACACCAGCGUCUGCCUUGACUAUGCACAGGCAGCGCUUCCCUUAGCCGCAGUUUCCCACUCCCCUCCUCUAGCUGCUUACCGCAGUCUCGGAGGAGUCAAAGGUGUCCUGUAACCAUCCUCUGCUACCAGAUGUCAGAGUGGGAGGCGGACCCGGAGUAGCGAUGGAGUCUCAAUAUGAGUAUGAUCGUUCUCCUUUAUUCAUGCACCUUACACUUCUUAUAGACUUAUCCCAAUAGUGCACGUGCUAACAAAACAAAUCCUAAUUGGUUAUGUCCCGCUGUUCACGCGCCUUAUGCUGUCACGCAACUAGCCAGACGCUCUUGAGCACGCAAAAGGGGCAGAUACAAAGUUCUCAUCACAACUCUUCGGGACUUUCCCGUGCUGGAUUCCACAUUCUUGUAUUCUACUCCCUUUUAUCUUAUCUCAAGGUCAGGCCUAGCUACAGACAGCAAACCCUGGAUUGUUCACUGCUAUUAAAUCAUGAGCCAUUCUUCCACAGGUGGCAUUGCUGGUGUGGACACCUCUGCUUCACCCUCUCUGUUCCUGCCCUGUGAAGAGCCCAGUCCUGUUGGCUUUGGCUGUGCCCAAGGGACCCGGGCUGUGAGGGAGCUCCUGGCUCUGGGGCAGGGCAGGGGCUGCCUCUUGGCCAAGGCAAGAGGAGAUUUGUCCCUGCCAUGGUAGCACCUCAUCACCCUAAGUCAGAGAGGUCCUGGUAAGGCUGGAGACAACAUCAAGCACCUCCGCAAAGGCGAAGGAGGACCAUGCAGUCUUGCUUUGCCCUUCCAGCCCAGAGAGCACGUCCUUGUCCUGGCCGAGCAGCCACAUGCAGACACCGUGCCCUGAGAGUCCAUGGUUCCUCCUCCAGGACCUGGACAGGACACCUUACAGGCAGCCCCUGGGCCUUGCAGAGGAGGUUGUGGUCUGAGAGCAUCAGGAAAUCAUAGAAUUGUUUGGUUGGAAAAAAACUUUGAGAUCAUCAACCCAGUUGUACCUGUCGAGUGCUAAAUCAUAUUCCUAAGCAUGAAGCUGGAGCGUGCAGGCCUGUGCUUGCCGAUGCCUCCAGCCUGGCAGCUCUCUCUCCAUCCAUCCACCUUUCUCCAUUGUCUGUAGUCCUGCUGGAGCUGCUGUUGGGGGCAGCUCUGCAGCUUCUCCGCCGUCAUGCACAAAACAGUGAAGCAGUUGUCUCCAAAGUGCGAGGUGACCUUCCUCCAGUCGGAAGAUGGCAGCGGCAAGGGCGCAGCGCUCAUCACGGCGGUGGCCUGCCAGAUCCGGGAGGCUGGCCAGCGAUAGGAGGAAGGAGGUUUGCCGAAGAGCUUGGUUUCAGCAGAACAGGACGUUUCCCCCCCACCCCCGGUCCCUCCCUCCGUACACACACACAUACGAGGCCUCCCCUUGCAAGCAGACUCUAGGCUUUACUUGUUCCCGUGAGAUACCACCAGUGGGACUGGAGAUGCUGUGUACUUUAUAGAAAGAGCUGUCGUAGGAGUUUCAUUGCAUGCCAUAAAACCGCGUGUCGAGUAAAGCUCAAAGCGUCUUUUGGCUGUCUGCCUACAUUCCCAGUUAGAGCUGGACCUGUUCCACUUGCAGCCUCCAUCAAACACCAGCUCUCCUCCCCACAUCUCCUAACCACUCUCCCACCUUCCCAAACAGCAGAAAGGGUAAUGCUGGAAUAAUUAAGACACUGCAUUGUCACUUUACAGUAACCGGUACCUAUUUAUGUCUGUCGUAGCGUGUCCAUGCUGUAGAAAGCAAACCUCUCCAAGAUUGGGCUAAAGACCUCCGUUAGUCUUUUACCCUGAUCAAGGCUGUAUUAUUUCCAUGAAAGUCAUGGUAACUUUUCAAGCACAGGGUGCAGAAUUCCAACCGGCGUGUUCCGGGUCUGCACUGGGAGAUACCAGGUAUCUCUGUUGGUGAGCAAUAUUAAAGAACCUGCUGGCUCCGAGUUAGAGGCGCCCCUUUAACGGCGCCAGCAGAGCACGUGCCUGGAAAUAAUUGGGGACUCAGGGUCUAAUCCCAUUUCCCGACCUCUCACCUCACCUGCACCCUAGAGUGUAGUCACGUGGCAUGUCCGUAUGGUUGUGUUGCACCUCUGAAAACCACUGGCACCCUUCCCAGGUGCAUGUGCGGAUACAGGAACCACCACCCGGCCGGGUCGCUCUCUUCCCUGCAGAUCCGCACAUCGUGGCCGUGUGUCUGUGCUUGGCGCGGGUAGAUUGGAGAGAGAGACACCCAUAUUCCUGAGGAUGGGCAUUCUGAAUUCAUCACCAGGACAAAAGGGAAACUAAGAAGGCAGGGAUGCGCAGCGCGGGGAGCAGUCGGGCCCUGCAGCAGCGAAGCUUUCAGGAUUAGGCUGGGAGGACCUGAGGAGAGGUUUUUCUUUUGUCCCGCUGCCCUCAUCGCUCUGGAAGGCGCCGCUGUUCCCUGUGGCAGCACGGGGUAAAAUAACGUCGGGCCCCCUCGCAUUGUCCCGGGACAGCAAACCGCGGCUCGAGCACCGCUGGGGUGCGUGUUUCGCAGCGAGACGCUGGCAAAACCAAUCCCAACUCCUUCCAUCAAUUAAGCAGCAAUAGCUGAUGUCACUCCAUGGCCCUUUGGCAUCCUCAGGGCUGUCGGCAAGCGCUCCUGGGGCCGUGGGUGCCCAUAGCAUCAUUUUGUGUGUCCCAGGGAAAAGCAGUGAUUAAUUCUUGCCUUAGAAUUAAGACGCCUUAGGACAAAGCUGCAGCAAUGCUGGAGCGGGGAGAGGCACAUGGGAGGGGCUGUAAAUAUUUAGCAGAAGAGAAUGAAGUUCCGAUUCUGUACAACUAUAAUAAUUAAUAAUUCCCAGGAGCAGACCUUCACUUUGGAGGACAGAGUUUUUGUCUAUUUUGAUGUAUAUUUUUACACUGCUUGGGGUACCCUCAUUCCCAGGAGUCUCUCUGCUGUCUUGGGGGUCACGUGCAGUAGCACAAUUUUAAAGCAAAAAUCACUCUUCGGGCAUUUUAAAUGCUUAUUUUUAUAUAAGCCUCAAGACAAUUAUAACAAAGCAAAUCUGACUGUGUAUAGAAACAAUGUAAGAAACCAAGUUCAGUGAAAAGUUUUAGAAGAUGUUAAAUAAAUUUUGGAAAGAUGGUCCCAAACUCCUCUGCCACGGUCCCAAGCAGUCGUGUGUUUAUUCCUGAGAGCAGCCUUUUGCCUGCUGACAAACUGAACCAGAAAUGUUUUUAGCUGCCGCACCGUGCAGAAAGUUGCAUUAGUGAUAGGAUGAGGGGAGUGGUUUUCAGCUGCAAGAGGGGCGAUUGAGAUGACAUCUGAGGAAGGAAUGUUUCCCUGUGAGGGUGGGGAGGCCCUGGCCCAGGUUGCCCAGAGCAGUGGUGGCUGCUCCAUCCCUGGAGGGGUUCCAGGCCAGGUUGGAUGGGGCUUGGAGCCCCUGAUCCAGUGGGAGGUGUCCCUGCCCAUGGCAGUGGGUGGGACUGGAUGGGCUUUGAGAUCCCUUCCAACCCAAAUCAUCCCAUGAAUCUGUGAUUAGCGGCUGUAUUUUUAAACUCUUAUCCAGUUGGGCGCCUCCUGGAACACGUAGUGUUUUCAUCGGUUAGUGAGGUAAAUUUUAUACAGCUUUAGUUUGGGAGGAGAGUGGAAAAGAGUGAGACUGUGGGCAGCUGAUUCCGGCUCCCGUGCAGCAAAUUGUUGGAGUGGGUGACUGAAAGGGUGAGAAGAUGCGGGUGGUUCAGUACCCGGUUAGCGGGGACGAGUGGAGCGGGGUAACCUCGCUGCCCGUGCCUCUCCGCAGCACAGACUGGGGCUGUAGCCUCGCAGCGGUGGGAAGGAUUGACUCUACCCUCAGAGGGUGGUGGGGAACAGCCGAGCGCUGUCUCCUCUCCUGGAACAGAGAAAGGGAAGACCGUGCAGCUCCUCCCCUGGAGCUAGAGCUUCUUGGUCUGCCCCACAGUGCCUGAGCUGGGCCAGUAUCGGCUCUGUGGGGCUAGCGAGGCGAGGGAGACGUGCUGGAGCUCAAGGAUACAGACUGAAGCAUUCUGUGAGGUCAGGGAGGGUUUUGGGCUGGGCUUGGUCCGAUGGAAUCCCACCUGGAUACCACCCAGGCUCUCAUAAUGCUUGAGAACCUUUGCUUCCCCCUCACUUUGUCUCAGAAUCAAGCAGGGGCUGAAGUGUUUCCAGGUAAACAGCAACACUCGGAGCGUUUCAAGACCCCAUCAUUAUGGCGUGGCUGCAGGGAUGCCCUUGGCCCUGGCUGUGAGAAAGGGUUUUAUUAAAGAUGAAGAGACAUUUGUGCUCCUCUUCAAAGAGGAUGAGUAGCAUUUGCUGCACAGUCCGAUUGUCACUCUGGUGGGACUGUAACCUACAUGAGCACAGUGCCCUGGGACAGUCUGUGAACGUGUUUAAAAUGAGAAGGGAAGGUGAAAUCGUAACAAUUAAUAUGAAGGGAAGAUCAGAUCUGUUCUACGUAGGGAGGGAUGGACAAGACCGAUCAGCUUGACUUGCUCGAUCUGUCUCUCCUCCAGUCAGAAGCACUGCUUUGUGCAUUCAGGAUGGCUUUUGUCUCACUUGGUUUUUCCCAUGAGGAUGCAUUUUCUUUGCACUCCUGGUGGUGUGCUGGCACAUUCUCCGGCCACAUGGGCAGCAGGAGAACAGGGUCUUCCAUGGGGUCGGCUGCUGUGCCAGAGGCUCUGACAUCUCCCUGGUGAUUCUCUCCUUCGUGGCACUCGCGACAGGAUUUUAUUGUUACUGCACACACACAAGUAGCAAAUUAUUGAGCCUUGCAAAAGGAAUUUGCCUCUUCCCUUCCUGGGGUUGAGGGACAUGUAGGGAGAAGCAUCACAUUCCACCACCCAAGACGUGUGAGGAGGGUCCGCGACGCACAGAUCUCUGGGCUGGAAGCAGCUCCGAGGCAGCUCAGUGCCUCUGCUGCACGGCCUCUCCGCAGGCGAUCCAGCCGUGUCCAGGCUCUCUGUCGGAGGAGAGAGGGUGAAAAUUCCUGGUCACAACGCGAUGUGGAGGAUGAGAGUCCAGUUAUGGAUCUUGUUGACAUCUCUAACCAGUCUGACGUCUUUCUGACUCGAAGCAAAGAAAACGCAUCUCAGUGCAGGCGAUGGCUCUGUGUGGGACAGGGGGACAUCAAUAAAGCCAAAGACUGUGGGGCUGCUAACAGGAACAAGAGACUGUAGAUUCACCUGAUGUUGUUAUUUCGUGUUUACAAUAUUUAUUUUUAGUAACUGACUGCUAUUAUAUUAUAGAGAGGCUUCCUUAUUUUUGUACUU